Molecule: non-coding RNA, 618 nt
Organism: Labeo rohita (rohu)
Lineage: Eukaryota; Metazoa; Chordata; Actinopteri; Cypriniformes; Cyprinidae
Source: the annotation of a RefSeq genome assembly
CAUAAACAAAAUAUACAACAAAUCAACAUGUAAUUAUCACUAACUGGUUCAAAACAUUGCUCUGAAAGUAAAAUAUGUAAUAUAUUGAUAGCAGUUCAAGCUGUUGUAAAUCCUGCCCACUUCUUUGGAUUGUCAGCACAUGCUUCAGUGCUCUGAGAGUGUUUAUAGUGCUGUGAGUUUAACACUUCAUGACUGAGAGCAGAACAGAACAGAAUCUUCAUCAUCACACAAGACAAAACAACAACAAUGAACAACAUCAUCAUCUUCAUCUGGACCAUUGCAGCUUUUAUUCAAGAAUCCAGAGGAGUCACUGUGACUCAGCCUAAAGUUAAAGCUGUCCAACAGGGUCAAAGUGUUACAAUAGAGUGUAGUACGGAUGUAGGAAUAUACCAUGACAACUUAGCCUGGUAUCAGCAGAAACCUGGAGAAACUCUUAAACUUCUGAUUUAUGACAGAAGAUACCUUUAUUCAGGAACUCCAUCUAGAUUCAGUGGCGGUGGAUCAAACUAUGGAACUGAUUUCACUCUGACCAUCAGUGGAGUCCAGACUGAAGAUACAGGAGAUUAUUACUGUCAGAGUGAACACUGGAUCAACAGUAAAUAUGUGUUCACACAGUGA